Molecule: ribosomal RNA, 515 nt
Filed under: uncultured bacterium
Lineage: Bacteria
Description: bacterial SSU rRNA
Rfam family: Bacterial small subunit ribosomal RNA
Source: RNAcentral
ACGAACGCUGGCGGCGUGCCUAAUACAUGCAAGUCGAACGGUCUUUCUAUGGAAGCUUGCUUCCACUGAGAAGAUAGUGGCGAACGGGUGAGUAACACGUGGGUAACCUGCCCAUAAGAGGGGGAUAACAUCCGGAAACGGGUGCUAAUACCGCAUAGUUUCUUGAUCGCAUGAUUGGGAAAGGAAAGACGGCCUUUGUGCUGUCGCUUAUGGAUGGACCCGCGGCGUAUUAGUUAGUUGGUGAGGUAACGGCUCACCAAGACGAUGAUACGUAGCCGACCUGAGAGGGUGAUCGGCCACAUUGGGACUGAGACACGGCCCAAACUCCUACGGGAGGCAGCAGUAGGGAAUCUUCCGCAAUGGACGAAAGUCUGACGGAGCAACGCCGCGUGAGUGAAAGAAGGUUUUCGGAUCGUAAAACUCUGUUGUCAGAGAAGAACAAGUUGGAGAGUAACUGCUCCAGCCUUGACGGUAUCUGACCAGAAAGCCACGGCUAACUACGUGCCAGCCGCCGC